AGCCCAAAGCUGGUGGUAAACUCCAUCUAAGGCUAAAUACUGCAGGAAUCUGAGAAACAAAAGGAAGAAAAUGAAGGACUAAAGAGAGCACACUUCCUCUUAAAUAAGGCAGAGAAACACUGUGUGGACGGUGUGAGGCCGGUAGCGGCCCCCGGCGCGCCGGGACCGGGUCUUCUUGGAGUUGGGUUGUUUGGGAAUGCAGCCCAAAGCUGGUGGUAAACUCCAUCUAAGGCUAAAUACUGGCAUGAGACCAAUAGUCAACAAGUACUGGGGG
Molecule: non-coding RNA, 274 nt
Filed under: Chelonia mydas (Green sea turtle)
Lineage: Eukaryota; Metazoa; Chordata; Testudines; Cheloniidae
Description: Eukaryotic large subunit ribosomal RNA
Rfam family: Eukaryotic large subunit ribosomal RNA
Source: Rfam by way of RNAcentral